UUUUUGGAGAGUUUGAUCCUGGCUCAGGACGAACGCUGGCGGCGUGCCUAAUACAUGCAAGUCGAGCGAAUCUGAUGGGAGCUUGCUCCCUGAUGAUUAGCGGCGGACGGGUGAGUAACACGUGGGUAACCUGCCUGUAAGACUGGGAUAACUCCGGGAAACCGGGGCUAAUACCGGAUAACUUUUUUCUUCGCAUGAGGGAGAAUUGAAAGAUGGCCUCGGCUAUCACUUACAGAUGGACCCGCGGCGCAUUAGCUAGUUGGUGAGGUAACGGCUCACCAAGGCGACGAUGCGUAGCCGACUUGAGAGGGUGAUCGGCCACACUGGGACUGAGACACGGCCCAGACUCCUACGGGAGGCAGCAGUAGGGAAUCUUCCGCAAUGGACGAAA
RNAcentral lists this ribosomal RNA (391 nucleotides) under Heyndrickxia oleronia. Its description in RNAcentral is "bacterial SSU rRNA". It matches the Rfam family "Bacterial small subunit ribosomal RNA", at positions 1 to 380 of the family's 1533-position model. Lineage: Bacteria; Bacillati; Bacillota; Bacilli; Caryophanales; Bacillaceae. The record is from RNAcentral.